This 496-nucleotide ribosomal RNA is filed under the name uncultured bacterium. RNAcentral describes it as "partial 16S ribosomal RNA". It matches the Rfam family "Bacterial small subunit ribosomal RNA", at positions 28 to 506 of the family's 1533-position model. The record is from RNAcentral.
GAUGAACGCUGGCGGCGUGCCUAAUACAUGCAAGUCGAGCGAACAGACGAGGAGCUUGCUCCUCUGACGUUAGCGGCGGACGGGUGAGUAACACGUGGAUAACCUACCUAUAAGACUGGGAUAACUUCGGGAAACCGGAGCUAAUACCGGAUAAUAUAUUGAACCGCAUGGUUCAAUAGUGAAAGACGGUUUUGCUGUCACUUCUAGAUGGAUCCGCGCCGCAUUAGCUAGUUGGUAAGGUAACGGCUUACCAAGGCAACGAUGCGUAGCCGACCUGAGAGGGUGAUCGGCCGCACUGGAACUGAGACACGGUCCAGACUCCUACGGGAGGCAGCAGUAGGGAAUCUUCCGCAAUGGGCGAAAGCCUGACGGAGCAACGCCGCGUGAGUGAUGAAGGUCUUCGGAUCGUAAAACGCUGUUAUUAGGGAAGAACAAAUGUGUAAGUAACUAUGCACGUCUUGACGGUACCUAAUCAGAAAGCCACGGCUAACUACGU